This 423-nucleotide ribosomal RNA is filed under the name uncultured eukaryote. RNAcentral's name for it is "SSU rRNA". It matches the Rfam family "Eukaryotic small subunit ribosomal RNA", at positions 592 to 1018 of the family's 1831-position model. The record is from RNAcentral.
CAAUAGCGUAUAUUAAAGUUGUUGCAGUUAAAAAGCUCGUAGUUGGAUUUCUGGUGAGAGCGCUUGGACGGCCCAAUGGGUUUGCUCUAAAUCGUCUCUUGCCAUUCUUGGAGGGAACUUGUCUGGCAUUCAGUUGUCGGGCUUGAGAUCUCCAUCGUUUACUGUGAAAAAAUUAGAGUGUUCAAAGCAGGCUUAUGCCGUUGAAUACAUUAGCAUGGAAUAAUAAGAUAGGACUUUGGUACUAUUUUGUUGGUUUGCGUACCUAAGUAAUGAUUAAUAGGGACAUUGGGGGUAGUUCGUAUUCAAUUGUCAGAGGUGAAAUUCUUGGAUUAUGGAAGACGAACUACUGCGAAAGCAUUUACCAAGGAUGUUUUCUAUUAAUCAAGAACGAAAGUCAGAGGUUCGAAGACGAUUAGAUACCAU